RNAcentral lists this ribosomal RNA (301 nucleotides) under uncultured bacterium. RNAcentral's name for it is "partial 16S ribosomal RNA". It matches the Rfam family "Bacterial small subunit ribosomal RNA", at positions 509 to 807 of the family's 1533-position model. The record is from RNAcentral.
CAGCCGCCGCGGUAAUACGUAGGUGGCAAGCGUUAUCCGGAAUUAUUGGGCGUAAAGCGCGCGUAGGCGGUUUUUUAAGUCUGAUGUGGAAGCCCACGGCUCAACCGUGGAGGGUCAUUGGAAACUGGAAAACUUGAGUGCAGAAGAGGAAAGUGGAAUUCCAUGUGUAGCGGUGAAAUGCGCAGAGAUAUGGAGGAACACCAGUGGCGAAGGCGACUUUCUGGUCUGUAACUGACGCUGAUGUGCGAAAGCGUGGGGAUCAAACAGGAUUAGAUACCCGCGUAGUCCCUGUCUCUUAUAC